GACGAACGCUGGCGGCGUGCUUAACACAUGCAAGUCGAACGGAAAGGCCCUGCUUUUGUCGGGUGCUCGAGUGGCGAACGGGUGAGUAACAAGUGAGUAACCUUCCCUUGACUUUGGGAUAACUUCAGGAAACUGGGGCUAAUACCUGAUAGGAGCUCCUGCUGCAUGGUGUUGGUUGGAAAGUUUCGGCGGUUGGGGAUGGACUCCCGGCUUAUCAGCUUGUUGGUGGGGUAGUGGCUCACCAAGCGUUCGACGGGUAGCCGGCCUGAGAGGGUGACCGGCCACAUUGGGACUGAGAUACGGCGCAGAAUCCUACGGGCGGCAGCAGUGGAGAAUAUUGAACAGUGAGCGCAAGAGUGAUGCAACAACGCCGCGUGCGGGAUGCCGGCCUUCGGGGUGUAAACCGCUUUCGCCUGUGACCAAGCGUGAGUGACGGUAACGGGUGAAGAAGCACCGGCUAACUACGUG
Molecule: ribosomal RNA, 468 nt
Filed under: uncultured bacterium
Lineage: Bacteria
Description: partial 16S ribosomal RNA
Rfam family: Bacterial small subunit ribosomal RNA
Source: RNAcentral